UACGUAGGGGGCAAGCGUUGUCCGGAAUCAUUGGGCGUAAAGAGCGUGUAGGCGGCUCGAUAAGUCUGCUGUGAAAGUCCAGGGCUCAACCCUGGAAGGCCGGUGGAAACUGUCGGGCUAGAGUCCGGAAGAGGCGAGUGGAAUUCCCGGUGUAGCGGUGAAAUGCGCAGAUAUCGGGAGGAAUACCGGUGGCGAAGGCGGCAUCCUGGACCAUUACUGACGCUGAGGCGCGAAAGCUAGGGGAGCAAACGGG
This 253-nucleotide ribosomal RNA is filed under the name uncultured bacterium. Its description in RNAcentral is "partial 16S ribosomal RNA". It matches the Rfam family "Bacterial small subunit ribosomal RNA", at positions 524 to 776 of the family's 1533-position model. The record is from RNAcentral.